CCCUUAGAUGUCCUGGGCUGCACGCGUGCUACAAUGAUACGUGCAACGAGUUAAUCCUGCUCUGAAAGGAGUGGGUAAUCUUAUGAAUGCGUAUCGUGCUUGGGAUUGACCAUUGUAAUUAUUGGUCAUGAACGAGGAAUUCCUAGUAAGCACAAGUCAUCAGCUUGUGCUGAUUACGUCCCCGCCCUUUGUACACACCGCCCGUCGCUCCUACCGAUUGAGUGUUCCGGUGAAUUAUUCGGACUGCAACAGUUAUCUGUCGCGGAAAGUCUUGUGAACCUUAACACUUAGAGGAAGGAAAAGUCGUAACA
RNAcentral lists this ribosomal RNA (311 nucleotides) under uncultured eukaryote. Its description in RNAcentral is "partial 18S ribosomal RNA". It matches the Rfam family "Eukaryotic small subunit ribosomal RNA", at positions 1470 to 1796 of the family's 1831-position model. The record is from RNAcentral.